ACUCCUACGGGAGGCAGCAGUGGGGAAUAUUGCACAAUGGGCGCAAGCCUGAUGCAGCAACGCCGUGUGAGUGAAGUAAGGUUUUCGGAUACGUAAAACUCUGUCCGUAAAGGGAAAGAAACAAAUGACGGUACCUUAGGAGGAACGCCCCGGCUAACUACGUGCCAGCAGCCGCGGUAAUACGGUAGGGGCAAGCGUUAUCCGGAAUCACGUGGGCGUAAAGGGUGCGUAGGCGGCUUAGCAAGCCAGGGGUGAAAGGCAUUGGCUCAACCAAUGUAAGCCUUUGGAACUGUUAAGCUUGAGUGCAGGAGAGGUAAGUGGAAUUCCUAGUGUAGAGGUGAAAGUUCGUAGAUAUUAGGAGGAACACCGAGUGGCGAAGGCGACUUACUGGACUGUAACUGACGCUGAUGCACGAAAGCGUGGGU
This 425-nucleotide ribosomal RNA is filed under the name uncultured bacterium. RNAcentral's name for it is "bacterial SSU rRNA". It matches the Rfam family "Bacterial small subunit ribosomal RNA", at positions 335 to 766 of the family's 1533-position model. The record is from RNAcentral.